CCCAUUCUUUCCCACUUCUCCUGCUGUCUGCCAUGUGGUUCUUCGCCGUCCCCCUGAGGUCACCUUGGGUCUCCUGUCAUCCCCACAGGCUUCCUCCCCGGUCACUGCCAAAGAAUUGGGGGAUGAGGUCCAGACCAGUGUCUCGUGAUCCUGCCAUCUGGCUAAGUGGCUACCCUUCCACCCUUGCUGGUCUCCAAAGCAAGUUGCCAUUUUAUUUACCACCUAUGUGAACACAGGGAUGGUUAUAAGCCCCACGUGCAGAAACACCACCUGGGUUUCAAAUCAGGAGUCAGCGAUGCAAGGAGAGAUGAAGAGGAAGAGUCUUUCGUGGCCGGUGGCCGAGGAUGAGCGCAUCAUUCGUGGCUGAGUGGGAGCAGUGGUGGACACUGUCCAGGGCUGGUUGUGUCGUCAGCGUGAGAUGCAAGGUCAGGGCGAGAAUGGAAGAUGAGGCCGCUUGCUGUUUCGACAUUGUCAGGCGUGUCUCAAAUGCCCUCGUGUUCUCACGUUACCCCCGCAAGGUCUCCGAGCAACCAAAAGAAAUGGCUCCUGUUUCUCUCCUCUGCUUUUGUCUUCCCAGGGCAGUGAAAAGACCAACAUGUCCUUGGAACAUUUCACGUCACCUGAAAAACAGCCUUUUUUUUUCCUCCCUAAAAAUAUAUUGACUAAAAUAAAUUAAGUACAAAAAAAAAAAAAAUGAACACACUUUCUUGGUACACAUUGCCCCCCAAGAUUAUACUUUAGAUAGAGUCAAAACCCACAUCUCAGGCCUUUAUCUAUACUAUUUUUCCCCCUUAAAAUUCUUUUUUUUCUUUUUAAUUUUUUAAUGAAAGUUAAUUAUGGACAACAUUUGGAGAAUUAGCUUUAUAAAGUCAGUUAUACCAAACUGAAGCACU
Panthera uncia (snow leopard) is the source of this 893-nucleotide long non-coding RNA. RefSeq lists it as uncharacterized. Lineage: Eukaryota; Metazoa; Chordata; Mammalia; Carnivora; Felidae. The transcript has 3 exons. The record is from RefSeq and is a predicted model, not a curated record.